UACGAAGGGUGCUAGCGUUGUUCGGAAUUACUGGGCGUAAAGCGCACGUAGGCGGCGCUGUAAGCCAGGGGUGAAAGCCCGGAGCUCAACUCCGGAAUUGCCUUUGGAACUGCAGUGCUAGAGUAUCGGAGGGGAGUGUGGAAUUCCUAAUGUAGGGGUGAAAUCCGUAGAUAUUAGGAGGAACACCGGUGGCGAAGGCGACACUCUGGACGAUAACUGACGCUGAGGUGCGAAAGCGUGGGGAGCAAACAGU
RNAcentral lists this ribosomal RNA (253 nucleotides) under uncultured bacterium. RNAcentral describes it as "partial 16S ribosomal RNA". It matches the Rfam family "Bacterial small subunit ribosomal RNA", at positions 524 to 776 of the family's 1533-position model. The record is from RNAcentral.